UAUAUUUCUUUAUUAUUUGACACGUGUAUUUGUUUAAUGGCCCUCUGCUCCACCAGUAUGGAAGCUCCAAAAGGAAAGAUACCAGAUUGAUCUUGAUCACCUUUGCCUCCCCAGCACCUAGUCUUCCUUGGCACAUCGUGAGUGCUCGGGUCAGGCUGUGCCACAUCCACCCGGCCUUGCCUGGGGUCAUUCAUCUACAUGUACUCAGAUCACGUGAACUGGUGAUGGGCCACCCAUGUGCCUGCCUGGAGACUCCUAUUCACCCUUCAGAUCAAUAUCCCCCGAAUAAACUCCCAGUCACUCUGGCAUCCCA
RNAcentral lists this small RNA (313 nucleotides) under Pan troglodytes (chimpanzee). RNAcentral describes it as "retained intron". Lineage: Eukaryota; Metazoa; Chordata; Mammalia; Primates; Hominidae. The record is from RNAcentral.